AUUGAAUUAAUCAAAUUACAUUCAAAUCUACACUACCAAACCCAAACAUUCAUAAUGUAAAUCGGCCAAUCACAUAGCUCAAUUAUCGAGGCCUUUGGUUCAUAAUCACCCUUUUCUUAAUCAAUCACAUUAACUAAGAAAACAACUUUAAACAAUUGGUUUUGGAUCCAUAGAAUUGAUUUAAAUGGAACUAAAUGAAAUCAAAAUCCAAUUCUCAUUUAGGAGACAAAACCAUUUUGUUCUCAUCUUAUUUGGGCCAUAAGGAAACUAUGACCACAACAAUUGGGCCACAAUGCAAAUACAAAAACUUUUGGGGUCACUUUGUAAAAAUACAAAAGUCCACAACUUCAUGUAAUUACAACUAGAACCCAAAAUUUUAAUAAUGUAAAAACAUCAUUAAAGGAUCAAAACAAUUUGUCCUUUAGAGUUUUUGGGCUUUAACGUAAAAACGUAAACUUUUGGGCCAAAAUGCAAAUACACAAAAGUAUCAAAACUUUAUGUAAUUGCACAAAAGGCCCCAAAAGUACAUCCACUAGGGGGUGGCCGGCCAUUUGAGAAGAAAUUGAAAAAUUUUCUAAAAGUUUUUGCAAGUUGAUUUUGGUGGGUGAGGAAAAGGUGAAAUUGAUGGUUUGUAAGAAAAUGUU
Molecule: long non-coding RNA, 644 nt
Filed under: Malus domestica (apple)
Lineage: Eukaryota; Viridiplantae; Streptophyta; Magnoliopsida; Rosales; Rosaceae
Description: long non-coding RNA (MDOM_LNC013878)
Source: RNAcentral